RNA transcript from Acanthopagrus latus (yellowfin seabream), 1622 nucleotides. It is a transcript of the gene named zinc and ring finger 2b, with no coding region annotated. The transcript is spliced from 6 exons. The record is from RefSeq and is a predicted model, not a curated record. NCBI's taxonomy places the organism in Eukaryota, Metazoa, Chordata, Actinopteri, Spariformes, Sparidae.
UACCUGCAACACGGCCACAACCGUCACUGAGGGAAUACGACGGUUAUGGCUUCUCAACUUUUACACACGUCUUAAGCUCUCGACGGCCGGCUCAACUUUUCCUAACUUAUAUUUACCCGGUGUCGAUGGGAUCGUAGCGACUUUAUCGUGCUUCUGUGUUCUCCCGGUACGUCUGUCUGGUUGAGCCAUCUGCCUCCAGCGUAAAUCUGGCGCACUGUCCCGCAGUGGCUCAUAAAGAGCCUCGUUAAUAUUUCACAGCCGAGUCAGUGGAAGUUAACAUGGGGGCAAAGCAGAGCAGCCCGACCGCUGAUCCAGCUGCUAACGGACGGACCAGAGCCUACUCCGGCUCAGACCUGCCCUCCAGUACCUCUAACAGUAACGGCAGUAACGUUAGCAGGACUAACGCAGGGGGUCUGAGGUAUCAUGCAUACCGUGCGUCCGGAGCCUCUGGGGCCACGUCCAGCAGUAGCCAGCACCUUGGAGCAAGGGCCAGGUCUGUAGGGGGCUCAGGAGGCUCUGGGACCAGACUUCCGUCCGGCAUCAACAUUCCGAAUAGCAGCGGAGCCUACAGCUCCCAGGAGUCCGGCGGCAGCAGCCCGGAAGAGGCGGUGGACAGGGAGCGCUCAGGCGGAGGGCACGAAGGUCCACGGCUCGUGAUAGGAUCACUACCAGCACAUCUCUCGCCCCAGUUGUUCGGAGGGUUCAAGUGUCCUGUGUGCUCCAAGUUUGUGUCAACAGAUGAGAUGGAUCUUCAUCUUGUCUUGUGCUUAACCAAACCCAGAGUGACAUAUAACGAGGACGUGCUUGCUAAGGAUGCUGGAGAAUGUGCAAUCUGCCUGGAGGAGCUGCUACAGGGAGACACCAUAGCCCGCCUGCCCUGCCUCUGCAUCUACCAUAAAGGGUUACCAACCCCUGCUGUUUCCAGACAAUAAAAUGGAGGUGUCGGUUCCCUUCGCCCACACCAUGGUUUGACGUUGCCGACACAUCUGAGCAGCCGCCAGACAGCUGUAUCGAUGAGUGGUUCCAAGUGAACAGAUCAUGUCCAGAGCAUCCAUCAGAUUAAAGCUUUGUUUGCACAGGUACUCUACAAUAAGAUUGAUCCAUGAAAUGAAUUGUGGAUCCAGGGAAACUGCUGGACGCUGUGACCACUGUGAUGAGUGAACCCAUCCCCACCUACCUACUGAUGUAGAACCAUGGUUUGCCAAAUGUCAUUAAAGCAAUCUUCAGGGAUACAGAUGUUUGUGUUGCACACUGUACGUCUGACACUGCAUCGACUGAUCUCCACCUCACAUCCUCCCGAGCCCUGACACUGAGAGCCACACAUGACAUUGUGAUGCGCGGCCAUUGGACAGCAUGUCAGCUGAUGGGUGAGGGUUUUCCCUCCCCAUUUGACUCUGAAUCCCUCUAACACCAGUGUCUACCAGUGCCUUGUUGUGAUGUGCAGCCACAGCAGGGCCGGACAAAGGAGUCCCAACUAUGAGCUGAGUCAGUCCAGUCCAGGACAAACGAGACAGAGACAUCUGUCUGCAUGAGCAGCUCGGACUUAUACAGAAUUAAAGCUGCUGCUAAAUUGGUGCCAAUCACCUGUGAAUAUAAUUAAACACACACACACUAAGUCAUUA